UGGCUGGGGUGGGAGGAUUCGAACCUCCGCAUGGCGGAAUCAAAAUCCGCUGCCUUACCGCUUGGCUACACCCCA
Molecule: transfer RNA, 75 nt
Filed under: Acidiphilium sp. PM
Lineage: Bacteria; Pseudomonadati; Pseudomonadota; Alphaproteobacteria; Acetobacterales; Acidocellaceae
Description: tRNA-Gln
Source: RNAcentral